UGUGUGUGAGUGGCCUAGCGACGCUUCC
RNAcentral lists this non-coding RNA (28 nucleotides) under Mus musculus (house mouse). Lineage: Eukaryota; Metazoa; Chordata; Mammalia; Rodentia; Muridae. The record is from RNAcentral.